UACGGAGGGUGCAAGCGUUAUCCGGAUUCACUGGGUUUAAAGGGUGCGUAGGUGGGUCUGUAAGUCCGUGGUGAAAUCUCCGAGCUUAACUUGGAAACUGCCAUGGAUACUAUAGGUCUUGAAUACUGUGGAGGUCAGCGGAAUAUGUCAUGUAGCGGUGAAAUGCUUAGAUAUGACAUAGAACACCAAUUGCGAAGGCAGCUUACUACAGGGAUAUUGACACUGAGGCACGAAAGCGUGGGGAUCAAGCAGG
Molecule: ribosomal RNA, 253 nt
Filed under: uncultured bacterium
Lineage: Bacteria
Description: partial 16S ribosomal RNA
Rfam family: Bacterial small subunit ribosomal RNA
Source: RNAcentral